CUGAAACACCGAUUCUCGUACGAUCACUGAAGUUAAGCAACGUCAAGCCCGUUCAGUACCUAGAUGGGUGACAGCUUGGGAAUAUAAGCUGCUGUAG
Molecule: non-coding RNA, 97 nt
Organism: Acanthosepion pharaonis
Lineage: Eukaryota; Metazoa; Mollusca; Cephalopoda; Sepiida; Sepiidae
Source: the annotation of a GenBank genome assembly